CUCCAGCUGACACCUCCCAAAUAGGACGAAAUGCGCAUCCUGGAU
Molecule: non-coding RNA, 45 nt
Filed under: Trichobilharzia regenti
Lineage: Eukaryota; Metazoa; Platyhelminthes; Trematoda; Strigeidida; Schistosomatidae
Source: RNAcentral